CCGCCUCAGCCAGGGCUUUCUGCAGCUGCCCCACGCGGCUCUGGGCCCGGGCACACCUGCACUCUGCCUCGCUCAGCCGGCUGCUCAGGGUCGCCAUCUGGAUGCGGGAGUCAUCCUGGGCAGAAGGACUGAGGACGGCCUGGACGCUGACCCUCAGACCCAGGGACGCGCGGAUGGAUGGACAGCAGGUGUUCUUCCCAGAGACCCCCGGGGGGUGCUGCCGUGGGCGGGAGGACCCCAGCCCCCAUUACCCGCUCCCGCUGGGCUUCCCGGAGCUUCUGCACAAAGUCCUGCAGGACGUCCUGCACGGUGGCCACAUCCAUGAGCUCUGAGCUGCGGCCUCCGGGUGUGGGCGAGGGCCAUCGGAGGGGCGAGUGGGGCCUGGCCGGGGGGCUGGUACCCUGUUGCCCAGGGAGAGCCUGGGAGCUGUCGGAGCCUGCGGGAGGUGACAGCGGAGGGGUCGUGGACAGGAACACAGUGACAGAUACACGCCCUUCCCCUUUCCUCUCUGCUGCCCCAGCCAUGGGAGGUUGGGGAGACGGCCACAGGCUCCUACAAUUGCCCGUCCGAGUCCCUCACUGUGCGAGCUGUGAGGCCUGAAAGAGAGGUGCCAGGCCAGGGCCUGAGCUGGGAGAGGGGCCCGCCUGCCUCCACUGAGGACUCUGACCUUUGGUGGGGGAACCAGGCUGCUCCGGGGAGGCCCACGGGCUCUGUCUCUGGAGCCCCAGGCCACGGCGGAGUGUGGAGCACAGCCGGCCCAGCUGGGCCUCCGCAUCCUGCCUUGCACCCUCAGCCUGGGCCAGCUCCUGCUCCAGGCUGUGGAUUCGGUGACAGGCCUGGUCCAGGCGAGCCUGGAGAGCAUCAGCCACACCACUGGCUUCCUGCAGCUUCCUGGUGACACUGUGCAGCUCUGCUCGGAGGGUCUGCUCAGCCCCCCGGCUCUCACGGAGGUGCUCCUGGAGCCGCUGUCCAUGGGCCUCCCCUGCGGCCUCCACCUCUGCCAACUUCCUCUGCAAUCCCAGGACCUGUAGGAGGGAUGUUGGGGUGCGCCCGUGGGAGACAGUGAGGAAGUGGGGUGGGCCUCCUCCCUCUGCUCCCCGACGCCCAGCUCCUUCCCUUCUGAGCACAGGCAGCCGUCCCACCUCCUUCCGGGCACCCUCGUGCUUGGCCUCUGCCUCGGCUGCCUGCCUCCGCAGCUCCAGCACCUCCUGCGAGCACUGCGCCUGCAGCUCAUGGGCCUCUCCGCUCCUCCUCUGGUUCUCGGCCUUCAGUGUCCUCACCUGGGAGCGUGGGGCCGCACGGACAGGGUCACUGGUCUCUGUGCUGGAACCCAGGCAGCCUCCCUGCCUCCUGCCUCCGCUCACACGUCCCUUGAGAGCAGCUGGCCACACUUAGGGAGGCUUGGGCUAAGGGGCCCCAAAGGACCUUGCCCUGGGAGUUGUCACCCUCAGCCACUCUGUAGACACCUACCUGGGACCUCCUCGGAACCUCCUUGGAGGACCUGGGACAAGGAGGAGGCUCAGGUGGGGCGGGGUGGGCACUGAUUAGGGAGUGUGGGCAGUGGCUGGGGUGCACUGGAGCCAACUGCCCUGAGGCCGCCAUGAUAGGAGGGAGCCAGGCCUUGGGGGGACCCGGCUUGCCAGCACCCUGCCCUGCAGAGGCCAAGCCUCCCCUCUAGCCUGCCUGAGUUCCCGAGCCCCACCGGAAGGUGUUGCAUGUAGGAUACUUCCGUGUGCUGCUGUGCAUGGUUCCCUUCCUCCUCGCUAAAGCAUUCCUGGUUUUGCCCUCUCCAGGCUUGUCAUCUGUGCCCCAUGGGGACAGACCCAACCAGGGACCCUGUGAGCCUGAGCAGGGCAUGGCCCAAAGUCUGGGGACAGAGCGGUUCAAAGGCGGCAGCAAGGCCAGGGCUGGGGGCUCCCCUGGGAGGAGCCGGGACCCACCAGGCGGGAGGGUGCCUGGAUGGAUGUUGACCCCUCCCUGCCGCCCUACCUGUCUGUGGAGUUCCCGGAGCUCCUGACGGGCGUCCCCCCGCGCCUGCUCCAGCUCCCACAGGUGGGCCCGCAGUGCACUGGCCUCCUGCUGCAACGCCGCCUGGGCCUCCUCCAGGAUGAGCAGCUUCUGCUCCUUCUCCUCCUUGGACCGCUUAAAACUGACGAGGGUGCCACAGGCUGGGGCCCCCUCACCUCCUGGUGGGGCCAGCACAGCUGCCCAGCAGGUCUCUGCCUCCCCUAGUGAGGCACUGGCCCCAGUCUUGACUCUGCACAGUGUCCUCAAACUCAGCCUCUGCAGGGUUCCCUGUCACCUUACAGACAUAUGUCCACCCAGGUCCCAGUGCCGGCCGCAUGGCCCCUGUCCACUAUCCACCUCUUCAGCCCCUCCUCACCUCAUCCCUCCCUGUCUCCCCCUCUCUGUCACACUCCCGGACGCUCAACGUCCAGCCUAGCCUGGUACCUCUGCCACCUGCUGUGAGGGCUGUGCCGUCCAGCCCAGCUGCCCCACAGAGGCCUUUCUAGAGCCCCAGCCAGGCCCUUGGCCUCCCUCUGCUCCCCAGCUCUGCACCACCUCCUGGAGGACACCUGUGACCUAUCUUGCCUGCUGGAUGGGAACUCCCUGUGGGCAGGGACAGAUGGUGGCCCGCAGCUCGCUGUUGAAAAGCAACAGUACGUCCUUCUCGCGGGCCUCGUCACUCAGCGCCCGGCGGGCCUCCUGGGCCUCCCUGUGCAGCCCCUCCCGGCUCUCCUCGACGCCCUGCAGCUCCUGGCGCAGUGCGGCCAGUCCCUCCUGGGCCACGGUCAGCUGUGCCCGCAGCCUCUCAGCCUGGGGAGGACCAUUCAGCUCUAGAGGCCCGCUGGGGACCGCUGCUCCAGGGAUAGCCACAGGGGCCUGUGGCCUCUGACAUGGUGUGGCAGGCACAGGUGCCCUGCCCAACUUGGUCCCCAUGUGCUUUGCUCACCCCAUGGAGCCACCAAUCCCUAGUGCUGCGGAGGCUGCAGGGUGGCUUCCACGGGCUGAGGCAGGGCCAGCCUAAGAGCCCAGAAGACCCCACCUUGAGCCCCUGGGCCCGGCCCCACCCUGCGGCCUCUCUGGACCCCCAGGACGCUGACCACUGGUAAGCAAGGCCUACCUGGGAUGUGGCUCAGCACACAUGUCUGCACUGUCACUGCCCGGGGCCCUUCCCACCUCCUGCCCCCGGCGUCUAGUCCUCUCCUUAGGUGACAGUGUGGUGCCCAGGCCGCUGCCUGUCCUAGUGUGGGCAGCAGCCUCAGCAGGCAGGCUGGGCCUGACCCUGGCACAGUGACCCUGGCCCAGUGACCCCGGCACAGUGACUCUGCCACAGUGGGGGCUCACCCACUCCCUUGGCCCUCCUUCCCCCGUUGGCUUGGGAGGCAGUGGGAGGAGGAUCUCUGGCGAUGGGGGGGGCAGUGGGAGGAGGGUCUUGGUUUCCCGCUCCGGACACCAGGCAUCUCACAGUGCCCAGGAGAACCCAGGGGUGGGGUCCGGAGGACAGUUGCAGCCUGGCAGGAAGGCCCUCCCCAGCACCUACGCUCUGGGGGUGGGGACUUGCUGGGGCUCGGCCCUGGCGCCCAGUCUCCUGCCUCCCAGGUCUGAGCUCUGGGCCUGACCAGAAACCCUGGAGAAGGCUCCAUUCUGGCUCUUGUGUGUCCCAGAGGAAGAGGCAGAGGUAGCCAGCGGGGCAUGCCCAGAGAUGGAAGCCACAAAGACUCCGCGAUGUCAAGUCGCUGGCUUGACAAAAGCAAACCCCUCUUUCUGGCUGUUUUCACGGGAUAUUGUCCAGGCCCCCGACCGGCCUGGCUCCCGAGGCUGCCGCUGUUAUUGUUGUUCUGUUUUUGGGAAGGGCCAGAGCCUCCCCUCCGCUCCCCUCCACCCCCACACGUGGGAGCCAUGACCGUGCUGAGCAUUUUCCGCCGAGCUCAGCAGAAACCCGCCCAGAAGGUCAAGGACCAGCAAAAGGGCCCAUGCAUCAUAAAAGAAACUGUUUUCAUUUCCCAGCGCAGAGGAGAUGAAAACAAGCAAAACAAAUGCAGGGGAGGGCCUGCCCCCACUCCCGCCCCCACCCCACCCGCUCCCUCUGCCUCAUGAGAACAGCCAUCCCUUUUACAGGAAUUUUACGGCCAAAUCACUUAAUGUGAUUAUAAUAAUUAUUUCUUUGCUAGAAAUUGUAUAAACAGCCUCUUUUAAAAAUCUCCUGCAGGGAGGCAGCUCCAGAGCUCUGCAGGGAGGAGGGGCUGUGGAGGGAAAGCAGGGGAGGGUGAGAGUGUGUGUGUGUGUGGGAGUGCGUGUGUGUGAGUGUGAGUGUAUGUGUGUGUGCAUGUGUGUGUGUGAGUGUGGGUGAUGAGUGUGUGUGUGGGCCGGUGCAAGUGUCCACUCUGUACGUGGUGUGCAUACGUGUGUGUGCAUGCAUGUGUGUGCACGUCCGUAUGCCUGUGCAUGCACUACGUGUGUGUGUACGUGUGUGAUGAGCAUGUGUGAUGAGUGUGCGUGUGUGUGUCAUGUGUAUGUGUGCAUGCGUGUGUGAGUGUAUGUGUGAGUGCGUGUGUGUGUGAUAAGUGUGUGUGUGAGAGCCAGUGCAGGCGUCCACUCUGUAUGUGGUGUGCAUACAUGUGUGUGCAUGUAUGUGUGUGCAUGUCUAUAUGCCUGUGCAUGCACUACGUGUGGGUGUACGUGUGUGAUGAGCGUGUGUGAUGAGUGUGAGUGCGUGUGUGUCAUGAGUGUGUGUGAGUGUGUGUGUGAGUGUGUGAGUGUAUGUGUGAGUGCGUGUGUGAUGAGUGUGUGUGAGAGCCAGCGCAGGUGUCCACUCUGUACGUGGUGUGCAUACGUGUGUGUGCAUGUAUGUGUGUGCAUGUCUGUAUGCCUGUGCAUGCACUACGUAUGUGCAUGUGUGCGCACACAUGCGUGUGCACUGUGUGGUGCACGUUUCUGUGCACGCCUGUGUGCACUGUGUGGUGUCCAUAUGUGAUUCCAGCGUGAGUGUGUGUGAGUGCGUGAGGCUUGUGUGUCUGCAUUCAGCAUGCACACACCACUCUGAGUGUCGAGUGUACACCGGUGUGUGUGGUCUCACUGCGUGGAUGAUGUGUAUGCAUGUGUGUGCACACGUGUGGACCUCAGGCAGGGUCUGAGAGACUGGAAGUUCCUCCAGUUUAAAGGUUGUGAAAAACGUUAUGGUUUCCAUGGUGACCCUGGGCCAGCCUGGCGCCUGGACGGGCUCUGCUUGCUUUUCUCUGUGAUUGUUCCUCUUGUCCCCCUCAACCGUCCUCACCUUUUAGCCCCCACUCCCUUUCUGGGCACCCUGCUCUGCUCUGCUCCUCUGAGAGCCUGAACUUCCCAUGAGGCCUGCGCUCCCUUCCUUGAGGCACCCCCACCCUCUCCACACCUCCCCUCCCCCUCCCCCGCUGCCCCCAGUUUUGCAAUCUCGUUUUGCUUCCCCGUUGGUCGCUGACCGGGCCUGACUUUGAAAUCUGUUGAAAGGAGACCUUUCUCCUUGGGGCCAAUGUAAACAGCCGGUCAUGUUAACUCAUGUUCUCUUCCUCUCUCAGCCUGCCUCCCGGGGGUGCUUGGGGAGGGCUGAGCCCCUCUCCUCACGCUCCCCUGCCGGCCGGCCCGGCCCCUGGGGCGUGGUGUGCGCCAGCCGCUCGCUCCAGCACCAGGUCAGCUGCGCAGCCCCCAGCCUUGGCAAGCAGCCCAGGGAGUGUGCGAGGCCGCCCCGUCCCCGUGGGCCCCGCUGGGGCUCCAGCUGACCCUCUCCUCCUCUAGCCCAGAUCCGCGUGCCCUCCUGCCCUUGCCACACACAGGCGUCCCCCCGUCCUGCCAACCCCCCUCAGAAAUGCCUCUCCGAUCUGCCUGCCUGCUGAGCCCAGGUCCCGGAGGCUCUCGCGUAGGGCCGUGGUCUCCCUCUGAUGGGCUGUGAUGGCAUCCUCAAACUGGGCCUGGAGGGCCUUCAGCUCCUCAGUCGUGGCACUGAUGGUGGCCUGCGGGGAGAAGGGAGCCCACGGUGGCACCAGGGAGCUGGGCCCAGCAGUGGAGGGUGAGGCUGCUGGGAUGAGGAGACGUCCACGGCCCCUGACAGCUGUGAUGUGUGAGUGCCCACGGACACAGCAGGAGGCAGCCCCUCAGCUCAGCCUGCGCCCUGGGGCAGAGCCCAUCCCUACAGGGACCACCACACACUGGGCAGCUCUACCCUCCAUUUGGGACUGAGCUCAGCUGGAGUCGGCUCCCUGUCGCACACACCACCCGAGGUGUCCUCUCGGGCCUUGGGGCAGUGUGGCCAGCAGGGAACCUCGGGCCAGGAGGCCCCAGGCUCGGCCCAUGGCCCCUUGUUCAUGGACAAAUACCACCUUCUUCACCCCAAGCCCCAGGCCCCUCGGGACACCGCCCCGCUUCCUCUCAAGGCCCUCCCCACUGCACCCCUGCCCAGGUUGCGGCAGCAGGGCAGAUGGGGCUCAGGGGGUCUCAGCUUCCUGGGCCUCAGUGUCCUCAACAUGAAGGGUCCGAGCCCUGCCCUACUCAGGCUCUGCACCCCUGGGUUCAGGGGACCGGACCAAGCCUCCAGGCAGCAGCAGGCGGCUGGCGGGGGGCGGCUGGUGGGGGAUGGCUCCCUCCAGAGCUGGCUUUGUGUUCCUGGGAGCACAGGUGCCCACAUGGCUGCCCCUGUGCCAGAUCUCUGGAGCCCCUCCUGUCCACCUGGAUUCUGCUAGGGUGGGGGUUCCUGCAGCCUGUGCCCCCUGCUCUUGGGAAAGGAGCCAUGCUGCUGCCUCCUGUCGUCAUUCUCUACAAACCCCUCUGGUCUCUCUGGACUGACAAGGGCCAUCUUGGGUGACUAGGCCAUGGCUCUGUGCCUCAGCAUGCCCCAGCACUGCCAGUGAUGGGUGCCCCUGAGGCCUGGCUGCAGGAUACCCCUGUGAGGGCCUCGGGGACAGGGCAUCGGCUGGGAGCCCGAUGGCAGUGGUGACUCAGCCUAGGGGCGCACGCUGUCCUGUCAUCUGGCGCCUGGUGCUCCUUGGCCGGCAUUCCUCUCCUCCCGCUCCUCUCAACAGUUUUAAUUUCCAUUUUCUGAGCCGAGGUGGCAAAGGAACCCUUAACGAGCUCCCCAGGGAGGCCGGCUGGCUGGCAGGCCUGGUACCGAGUCCGGGGGAGACUCAGGGCCAGCUCAAGAGAAGGCUCCAGAAGCCAGCACUGGCUCCAGAGAAGGCCCCUCUGUGAGCCAGAGGCGUCAGCUCCCAGGGCCCCAGGAGGGCUUUCCUGGGUCCCUGCCCACGGGGUGGAGCCGAGAGAGCUGCUGGGCCAGUGGUCGGGAGGAGGGAGGGGCACAGUCACAGGCCCGAUGCCAAGCUUGGUCCUCCUGGGCCCCGUGGAACCCUCCAGGCCUCAGGGGCAGGAACAGAGCAGGGUGGGGCUUCAUGGAGUGAGGGGCGAGUCUCCCCUGGGCUGCCAGGAGCUCCUCUGGGCAGCCCUGCUUGGAGGGACUAGGAGUCCGGGUUGUGGCAUCAGGCAGGAGGAGGUGAAGCGACACUCCAGCAGCCGCCUCCUCAUUGCAGCGCCCUCUCCUGCUGCGCAGUGCCCUGGGGAUGGGGCACAAGCCCUCCAUCCCGGCUCCGAGUCACCGAGCGUCCCCCAAGGCCCCGCUGCCUGGACGCCCCGGCCCCCCAGCAGGCGGCCUGCGCGUGCCUCUGUGCAGUCAGUGAGAAGGGCUCCCGUUCAGAAUGGGCAGAGAAGGGGGCUGCCUCCCACACCUGGCACCAUGGCCUGUGUUCUGUUCACUGCACACUGAACCAUACAUUCAACGCCAGUCAGGUAGGUGUCCAACCCUGCGUCCUUGCCAGGGACAGGGAGGAAAGGCUCGCCUGAAUUUAAAAUAAGCCAACAAGUACGGGAAUGAACGGCCUCGUCACUGAACAUGCUGGGAGCUGGAAGGACAGAGGCAGGAGGCAGGUGUGGGCCCAGCUAAUGGGGUGUGUGUGGCCAGGGAGGGCAGAGAGCUGGGGGUUGGCGAUCAGCCUCGCCCUCAAUCCUACCUGUUCCUGGCAAGGAGAGGAGUGGCGUCCGGUGCCUUGAGCCCAUUCCCUCCCUGCCCAGGGCACCCUCGCACCUGUGUCUGUUCAGGGCCAGCCCCUGCCACCCAGGACAGCAGCCCCGACCUCAACACAAACAGCCCCUCCUCAGGCCGCCUGGGCCCUUGGAGAUCCUGCUGUAACUCCUGCAUCUAUGUCCUAUCACUGGGCUCUGGCCACCCUCGCUGUGAGCCCUGCCCAGUCUCUUCAUCUCCCAUGCGGGACCUGGUGCCACGUCACAGAUGGGCUGAAGCCUUGGAGUUCUGCAAGCAGUAACAGUGGGUGUCCAGCCUUGCCCACGAGCUGGAGGCACAGGCCUCAGAGUCCUCCUCCCCUGCUCCCCAGAGCCCUCCUCUCCAGAGCACUCCUCCCUAUAGCCCUCCUGCCCAGUGCCAUAUUUGCUGCUGCCUGUCCAGCCCCCUGGACUUGGGCUCCAGGGGAGGACCCAGGGGUCCCAGGUGACCCCCGCUGGCAGCCUGCAGCAGCCUUUGUGCAUGGGAGGGCCUCUGUUCACUGGCUGAGGGUGGGCGGCUGCUUGCUGGGGGGCUGUCCUAGCCCCUCCGCGGACGCUUCUCUCCUGGCUCCGCUCAGGACUCAAUGUGGGUGUCCUUUCCUGCCGAGAGUUUCCUCAGGUGCAGGGCCAGCCGCCUCGGGUUGUUUCUCCUUUGGAAGGAUCCCUCUGGUGAGUGAGUUCCACAAGGCUGGUGCUCAUGUCCCCAGCUGUGCUUUUCUAUGAGCAGCUCCAGUGCACAUAUGGGCUCAGCCACUUGCUGCUGUUGGCUCAUGGGAGGCCCCCAGCUGGGCCAGGCCCCCUCUCUCUGGCCCCUGCCAGCCCCAAAGCUAAGGGAGAACUGAGCCAGGUAAAGUCCUGGUACCCACUGCUUUGGUUCACUCGGAUCUUUCCUGCCCAUUGAGUGCCCCUCCCACCAGGAGCCCUGGAGGCACCUGAGGGAAACUGAGGCUCAGGAAGGGAGGGGAUGGAGAGGGUCAUGCCACUGGGACCAGGCAGGAGGGGUGGCCCCCUGGGGUCUGCCAGCACCUGCUUGGCUGUGCACGUGGCCUGGCUGCAUGGGGCUCACCUGCGCUUGCUCCUGCUGGCUCUGUGCCUCCUGCUGUACCCGCUCCAGCGUCCUCCUGGCCCUGGAGAGCUCCUCGCUCAGAAGGCUCCGCUCUGUUUCUUUCAGGGACAGGGCCUGAACAGGACGGGUUUGGGGGCCUUCAUGAGCCACCCCCAUCCCUCUAGGCAACACUUGCUGCAGUGCAGAGAAGAAAGCUUAAAAGCCCGAAAAUGCUCCAUCUCCCUGAUGGUGUGGGAGACGCGUGCCCAUCUGGGGGGAGGGCAGCCCAGAGACACGUGUGCACCUGUGUGGGCUGACCUAUGCACAGUGUCACCAAUGUCUGUGACAUUGCUGUAACGGCAACAAAGCUGGAGGCAACCCAGACGCCCGUGGAAGGAAGAACAGCCACAGGAAGACCCAGUCCUGGCAGCUCAGCAUGCAGCCCAGAAACAGAAGAACAAAGCUGCAGAUACACAGCUGGGAAAGGCCACCGAGAUGCUUUGAUAAGUGAGAAGAGGAAAGCCCAGGAGCUGGCAUGGACUUUUCAUUCCUUUUGUAUUAAAAAUGCAGCGUUGGGGAGGUAACGCUGUAUAUUUCUGUUUGCAAGCAAUCUUUGGAGGGUGUUGCAUAACAGAAGAUGUAUCAGGUCUUUGUCCUGGGUCCUUGGAGGAAGCUUCUAAACCCUGGGGGUUUCUCAAAAGUGUGGAGUGUCUGCAUUAUUCCUGGCGGGCCCCUGGGACCACACCUGAGUUUAUGCUAAUGAGGUGACUCGGGGUGGGCUCCUACUGAAUUUCAGGAUGGGGACUGUGUGCUGAAAGACCCAUUAUUAGAGGGUUGGGGCUUUGAGCCACGGGAUGUCAGCCCAACCUCCCAGCAGUCAGAGAAGUGGGCUUCAAUCACAUAACCAAUCACUCCACCGAUCACGUUACACAGUGAAACCCCAAUAAAACUCUGGACACCAAAAUGCAGUGGAGCCUCCUGGCUGCUGAGCACACUGGGGUGCAGGAGGGUGCUGGGCUGGUUCCACGGGGAGGGUGCAGCAGCCCCUGUCUGUGACGUGCCCACACCUUGUCUCCUCUUCUGGCUGGUCUUGAAUUCCAUGUUUGAUAAUGAAUCUCUAAGAGUAACAAGAGGCUUUCCUGA
This is a long non-coding RNA of Pan troglodytes (chimpanzee), 10267 nucleotides long. RefSeq lists it as uncharacterized. The transcript has 7 exons. The record is from RefSeq and is a predicted model, not a curated record. Lineage: Eukaryota; Metazoa; Chordata; Mammalia; Primates; Hominidae.